UGUACACGCUGUGACUAGCAUAUCAAUAAGCGGAGGAAAAGAAACUAACAAGGAUUCCCCUAGUAACGGCGAGUGAAGCGGGAAGAGCUCAAAUUUGAAAUCUUAAAGGGUUUCCCUUUACGAAUUGUAGUUUAAAGAAGUGUUUUCUGUUGAGGUUUUGGUAAAAGUUCUUUGGAAUAGGACAUCAUAGAGGGUGAGAAUCCCGUAUUUGACCUUUACUUUCAACUUUGUGAUACACUUUCAAAGAGUCGGAUUGUUUGGGAAUGCAGUCCAAAAUGGGUGGUAAAUUUCAUCUAAAGCUAAAUAUUGGCGAGAGACCGAUAGCGAACAAGUACCGUGAGGGAAAGAUGAAAAGAACUUUGAAAAGAGAGUUAAACAGUACGUGAAAUUGUCAAAAGGGAAGCGUUUGACACCAGUGUUGUUUUUCUGAAAAUCAAUUAAAGAACUGUUUAUGCUAAGCUGUUUAGACUUUAUCAGCUAUCUGUUUAGUUUUGAGCUUUUCUUUAAUGCACUUUUCAGUUAACAAGUCAACAUCAAUUUCUUUUGCUGUAAAAAAGCUUGAGGAAGGUGGCUUGAGAUUCGUCUUAAGUGUUUAUAGCCUCUUGCCUAUGCAGUCGGAGAGAUUGAGGUCUGCAGCGUAGAUCCUUCGGGGCUAAAUGCAUUUGUGCUAAGUUAUAGCAUUUUAUAGACAACUUGUUGACUAUGAUUUGUCUUGUAGCUUACUCGCUUAUGUUAUUUUACCUACGCUUAGGAUGUUGACUGAUAUGUAGUCGUA
This 775-nucleotide ribosomal RNA is filed under the name uncultured Neocallimastigales. RNAcentral describes it as "partial large subunit ribosomal RNA". It matches the Rfam family "Eukaryotic large subunit ribosomal RNA", at positions 22 to 644 of the family's 3401-position model. The record is from RNAcentral. Lineage: Eukaryota; Fungi; Neocallimastigomycota; Neocallimastigomycetes; Neocallimastigales.